Oxyura jamaicensis (ruddy duck) is the source of this 497-nucleotide long non-coding RNA. RefSeq lists it as uncharacterized. The record is from RefSeq and is a predicted model, not a curated record. NCBI's taxonomy places the organism in Eukaryota, Metazoa, Chordata, Aves, Anseriformes, Anatidae. The transcript has 3 exons.
GGUGUCUGUGCUGUGAGUUAUUUUUUAGAGCUGUAGGCAGGGAGCAAACACACCUCUCCCAGCAUUGUAAUGUCUAAUAAUUUCUCAAAUUUUUAUGUGUUUAUCAUCACAUCAGCCCUCUGAGAUAUGGGAUUAGAGGGAAUUUGUGAGGAGAGAGAUUCUCACCAACGUCGGUGAUUUCACAUUAACCUUCAGGGCCAGAGUCAGCCUGUAGCAGCUCUCAUUUCCCGCAGCGGGAACAGCUGGGGGAGACAACCCAGUCACUCUCCAGAGGUGUUUAGAUGGGAGCAGAGCUCCUCCAGAAAUCUGGCUCCAAUUACGAGCACUACGUGCUUUAAAAAUCUGACCCUCAUGCUCAGUGUCGGCUAGACAUUUUACAAACAAGUCUGAUGAUAAUGGCAUAGUCAUACAGGCAAAGUGCUCCCAGCAUAGACGCAGCCCAGGCUUGGGGCUUUGCCAGCGCAGCUAUUCGGGGAUGGGCUCGCACCCUACAAGUG